GUGAAUCAUCGAAUUUUUGAACGCAUAUUGCACUCUUUGGUAUUCCGGAGGGUAUGCCUGUUUGAGGGUAAUUAAAAAGAAUCUGUACAAAUUGGUGUUGGGCAAAGGAAAUGAGUUCUCCGCGUGUAUAGCGGUAGCAUAAAAUAAAGGGGCAAGUCUGAUUCUAGUCGAGACGCGUAAUAAUAUUAUUUCGCGAAAUCUUCAUUAUGUGACUAUCAAGCUGUGAUGCAUAGAAAUUUGGUUUGUAUGCGAUUAAUACAAAGAUU
This 266-nucleotide unclassified non-coding RNA is filed under the name Ambisporaceae sp. RNAcentral's name for it is "partial contains 5.8S ribosomal RNA and internal transcribed spacer 2". The stretch from base 1 to 71 matches the Rfam family "5.8S ribosomal RNA", at positions 84 to 154 of the family's 154-position model. Lineage: Eukaryota; Fungi; Glomeromycota; Glomeromycetes; Archaeosporales; Ambisporaceae. The record is from RNAcentral.